UAGAUCUUUCAAGUUUCUGACCUAUCAGCUUUCGACGGUAGGGUAUUGGCCUACCGUGGCAGUGACGGGUAACGGGGAAUUAGGGUUCGAUUCCGGAGAGGGAGCCUGAGAAACGGCUACCACAUCUAAGGAAGGCAGCAGGCGCGCAAAUUACCCAAUGAAAACAGUUUCGAGGUAGUGACGAGAAAUAACAAUACAGGGCAUUUUAUGCUCUGUAAUUGGAAUGAUGGGAAUGUAAAACCCUCUCAGAGUAACAAUUGGAGGGCAAGUCUGGUGCCAGCAGCCGCGGUAAUUCCAGCUCCAAUAGUGUAUAUUAGAGUUGUUGCAGUUAAAAAGCUCGUAGUUGGAUUUCUGUCGUGGUCAUCCGGUACCGCCUGUAUGGGUGUGCACCUGGUUUGACCUCGGCUUUCUUCCGGUAGCCUUCCGCGCUUCACUGCGUGUGUUGGUGUUCUGGAACUUUUACUUUGAGAAAAAUAGAGUGUUUCAAGCAGGCUUGUCGCCCUGAAUACUUCAGCAUGGAAUAAUAAGAUAGGACCUUGGUUCUAUUUUGUUGGUUUCUAGGACCAAGGUAAUGAUUAAUAGGGACAGUUGGGGGCAUUCGUAUUUAACUGUCAGAGGUGAAAUUCUUAGAUUUGUUAAAGACGAACUACUGCGAAAGCAUUUGCCAAGGAUGUUUUCAUUAAUCAAGAACGACAGUAGGGGGUUUGAAGACGAUUAGAUACCGUCGUAAUCUCUACCAUA
This 741-nucleotide ribosomal RNA is filed under the name Eimeria uptoni. Its description in RNAcentral is "SSU rRNA". It matches the Rfam family "Eukaryotic small subunit ribosomal RNA", at positions 291 to 1034 of the family's 1831-position model. Lineage: Eukaryota; Apicomplexa; Conoidasida; Eucoccidiorida; Eimeriidae. The record is from RNAcentral.